Molecule: ribosomal RNA, 479 nt
Filed under: bacterium enrichment culture clone 114
Lineage: Bacteria
Description: bacterial SSU rRNA
Rfam family: Bacterial small subunit ribosomal RNA
Source: RNAcentral
AGAGUUUGAUCCUGGCUCAGAUUGAACGCUGGCGGCAGGCCUAACACAUGCAAGUCGAGCGGAUGAGUGGAGCUUGCUCCAUGAUUCAGCGGCGGACGGGUGAGUAAUGCCUAGGAAUCUGCCUGGUAGUGGGGGACAACGUUUCGAAAGGAACGCUAAUACCGCAUACGUCCUACGGGAGAAAGCAGGGGACCUUCGGGCCUUGCGCUAUCAGAUGAGCCUAGGUCGGAUUAGCUAGUUGGUGAGGUAAAGGCUCACCAAGGCGACGAUCCGUAACUGGUCUGAGAGGAUGAUCAGUCACACUGGAACUGAGACACGGUCCAGACUCCUACGGGAGGCAGCAGUGGGGAAUAUUGGACAAUGGGCGAAAGCCUGAUCCAGCCAUGCCGCGUGUGUGAAGAAGGUCUUCGGAUUGUAAAGCACUUUAAGUUGGGAGGAAGGGCAGUAAGUUAAUACCUUGCUGUUUUGACGUUACCGGC